UACGUAGGGGGCAAGCGUUGUCCGGAUUUAUUGGGCGUAAAGAGCGUGUAGGCGGCCAUGCAGGUCCGCUGUGAAAACUCGAGGCUCAACCUCGAGACGUCGGUGGAAACCGCAUGGCUAGAGUCCGGAAGAGGAGAGUGGAAUUCCCGGUGUAGCGGUGAAAUGCGCAGAUAUCGGGAAGAACACCGGUGGCGAAGGCGGCGACCUGGGUAGAUACUGACGCUGAGGUGCGAAAGCGUGGGGAGCAAACAGG
Molecule: ribosomal RNA, 253 nt
Filed under: uncultured bacterium
Lineage: Bacteria
Description: partial 16S ribosomal RNA
Rfam family: Bacterial small subunit ribosomal RNA
Source: RNAcentral